AUUGAACGCUGGCGGCAGGCCUAACACAUGCAAGUCGAGCGGAUGAAGGGAGCUUGCUCCUGGAUUCAGCGGCGGACGGGUGAGUAAUGCCUAGGAAUCUGCCUGGUAGUGGGGGAUAACGUCCGGAAACGGGCGCUAAUACCGCAUACGUCCUGAGGGAGAAAGUGGGGGAUCUUCGGACCUCACGCUAUCAGAUGAGCCUAGGUCGGAUUAGCUAGUUGGUGGGGUAAAGGCCUACCAAGGCGACGAUCCGUAACUGGUCUGAGAGGAUGAUCAGUCACACUGGAACUGAGACACGGUCCAGACUCCUACGGGAGGCAGCAGUGGGGAAUAUUGGACAAUGGGCGAAAGCCUGAUCCAGCCAUGCCGCGUGUGUGAAGAAGGUCUUCGGAUUGUAAAGCACUUUAAGUUGGGAGGAAGGGCAGUAAGUUAAUACCUUGCUGUUUUGACGUUACCAACAGAAUAAGCACGGGCUAACUUCGUG
Molecule: ribosomal RNA, 484 nt
Filed under: uncultured bacterium
Lineage: Bacteria
Description: partial 16S ribosomal RNA
Rfam family: Bacterial small subunit ribosomal RNA
Source: RNAcentral